AAAGUUACAUAAGCGCACAUAACGGAUGCCUUGACGUAAGAUACCGAAGAAGGACGUGAUAGGCUGCGAUAAGCCGCGGGGAGUUGCCAAAUAAACGGUGAACCGCGGAUGUCCUAAUGGGGGAACCCGGCUAGGGUCAUACCUAGUCACUCUUAUCUGAACACAUAGGAUAGGUAGAGGUAAGCUCCUGAACUGAAACAUCUUAGUAGGGAGAGGAAAAGAAAGUAAACAACGAUUCCGGCAGUAGUGGCGAGCGACCCCGGAAGAGCCCAAACCUUUUUAGUUUCCGUUGCAAAACGGAUAAGUUGACAGACGAAUAUUAAAAGGGGGUUGUGAGGAUCAAAUAGCCAAGUGAGAAUACUACGUUCGCGUAGUCGUCUCACUUGAGAAUACAGACUGUCAUUUCUGUAUGUAAGGUAAAAAAUUAGCGAGGCGAGCAGAAAUGUUUGGAACGAUAUGCCAUAGACGGUGAGAGCCCGGUAUGCAAAGUAUCGCUAACCUUAUUAUUUGGUGGGAUAUAUCCCUAGAAACAACCUAAUUUAUUAGAUUGUUUUGACACUCAAGUAGGUCGGAACACGAGAAACUCUGACUGAAGCUGGAAGGACCACCUUCCAAGGCUAAACAUAUCUUACGAUCGAUAGCGAACAAGUACCGCGAGGGAAAGGUAAAAAGAACCCCGAAAGGGGAGUGAAAUAGAUUCUGAAAUUGUGUGCGUACAAGGAGUCGGAGCGGUCUUUUAGACUGUGACGGCGUGCUUUUUGUAGAACGAUCCAGCGAGUUAUUGGCAGGUGCGAGCUUAAGGUUUAUACCGGAGGCGUAGUGAAAGCGAGGCUGAAUAGGCCGAUUAGUAUCUGUUAAUAGACCCGAAACCGGGUGACCUAACCAUGGGCAGGCUGAAGCGUGGGUAAAACUACGUGGAGGGCCGAACCGUAGAGAAUUGCAAAACUCCCGGAUGACCUGUGGUUAGCGGUGAAAUGCCAAUCGAACUCGGAGAUAGCUGGUUCUCCUCGAAAUAGCUUUAGGGCUAGCGUUGUGUAGUAGCAAGUGGGGGUAGAGCUCUGUUUCGGACUGAGGCCCGCGAGGGUACUCACCCUUGAUAAACUACGAAUACCAUUUGUGUAAGCACAGCAGUUAGAACGUCGGGGCUAAGCUCGGCGCUCGAAAGGGAAACAGCCCAGACCAUCAUCUAAGGUCCCUAAAUUUACGCUCAGUGGGAAACGAGGUGGGGUUUCUUAAACAAUGAGGAUGUUGGCUUAGAAGCAGCCAUUCAUUUAAAGAGUGCGUAACAGCUCACUCAUCAAGAGACCCUGCGCGGAAAAUGUAACGGGGCUAAAGCGUAAUACCGAAGAUAUGGAUUGUCACAUUAGUGGCAGUGGUAGAGGAGCGUUGUUGUCUGCAGUGAAGUUGAACUGUAAGGUUUGGUGGAGCGGCAACAAGUGAGAAUGCUGGAAUAAGUAACUUUAAGACAGGUGAGAAACCUGUCCGCCGAAAGAGCAAGGUUUCCUGGGCCAUGGUAAUCAUCCCAGGGUUAGUCGGGCCUAAGCCGAGGCGCGUAGCGUAGGCGAUGGACAACGGGUUAAUAUUCCCGUACCGGCGAUAUUGUUGCUCACAGAUUCGCGGCAUGGUAGUUGGAGCAGUCUAAUGGUAUGACUGUCUAAGCGUCUAGGAUUCGUCUGAAGCGCGAAUGAGAGUGUCCUUUCGGACACGAUUCCAGUGACCCAAGCUGACCAGAAAAGUCUGUGAGUGUAUAGAUAUUGCCGACCGUACCGCAAACCGACACAGGUGCUCAGGUCGAGUAGACCAAGGCGUACGAGAGAACCCUUCUUAAGGAACUCGGCAAUACAGCGACCGUAACUUCGGGAUAAGGUCUGCCCCGUCACAGUGUUUAUUACUGUGAAGGAGUUGUUGUAAUAGCAACAACAGUAUUGGCAAGUUUUCUUUUUGAAAACACUCACACUGAUCAUUACAAGAUCAGCCAAAAGUCCUUAAAAAGUUAUAACUUCUUUUUAGGGCAACCGAAGAUUUGAGAGAAGAAAGCUACAGCCUUUAUAACACAUUUAGUAAUAAAUAGUGUGACGGGGCCGCAGCGAAAGAACCCAUGCAACUGUUUACCAAAAACACAGGUCUCUGCUAACACGAAAGUGGAUGUAUAGGGGCUGACUCCUGCCCAGUGCUGGAAGGUUAAGGGGCGUGCUUCACGGCACAAACUGAAGCCCCAGUGAACGGCGGCGGUAACUAUAACCGUCCUAAGGUAGCGAAAUUCCUUGUCAGGUAAGAAACUUGCCUGAAGAUUGUGGCAACACAAUGUAAGUAAACCAACUAAUAACGAGGAAGCCUAAGCGUCUGGUCAAGACGAUUGGUAAUCUCGUGGCAAUCCCUUUAACUAAGGGGAAGCCGUAACGACUGAUCCGAAAGGAGAGGUACAUGACGCAAAAUGUACAAUACGUUGGCUCUCGCUUACAAGAAACGACGCUUACGGAGCAAGCAUGGUAUAUUACCGGAUUUGUAGAUGGGGAAGGUUGUUUUUCUGUCUCUUUCAACAAAAGAGCUAAGAUGAAAACAGGUAUCGAAGUGAGACCUAGUUUUUCAAUAGGUCAAAACAAGAGAAGCCUUUCUGUCUUGAAAGAUAUUCAAGACUAUUUCGGAUGUGGAGCUAUACGUUUUAGCAAACAUGACCAAACUUACAAGUAUGAAGUCAGGUCUGUAGGCGAUUUAAGAACGAAAGUCUUACCACAUUUUAAGAAAUAUCCAUUACGUACGCAGAAGUUAGAUGAUUAUAUAACUUUUGCUUGGAUAUGCGAUCAAAUUGCAGCGUUGCAACACCUUAACAGUGUGAAAUUAGCGGCAAUUAUCACAAAAGCAUAUGCCAUGAACGAAUCAGGUAAACGAAAAUACACCAUGAACGAACUCCUCCAAGUGAUCGAAGCGAGAUGAAGAUAUAGUCUGAUCUGUAAUGAAAAUUACAGCUAACGAUAUGAAGUUCUGACCCGCACGAAUGGAGUAAUGAUAUGGGUACUGUCUCAAGAAGGGACUCGGUGAAAGUGCAUUGGCGGUAAAGAUGCCGUCUGUCCGCAUCAGGACGAGAAGACCCCGUGGAGCUUUACUACAGCUUGACAUUGAGCUGGGUGACAACAUGUGUAGCAUAGGUGGGAGACUAUGAAGCCAACGCGCUAGCGAUGGUGGAGUCUUCAGUGAAAUACCACCCUUGUUGUUACUUUGUUCUUACUUGGACCGUUAUCCGGUUCGAGGACAGUGUCUGGUGGGUAGUUUAACUGGGGCGGUUGCCUCCUAAAGAGUAGCGGAGGCGUUCAAAGGUUGGCUAGCUACGGAUGGAAAUCGUAGUGAUAGUGCAUACGCAUAAGCCAGCUUGACUGUGAGGCCUACAAGCCAAGCAGGCACGAAAGUGGGAGUAAGUGACCCGUUGUCCAUACAUUAUGUAUAUGAGUGUGGAAUCGGCAACGCAAACGGAUAAAAGUUACCCCGGGGAUAACAGGCUUAUAGCGCCCAAUAGUUCACAUAGACGGCGCUGUUUGGCACCUCGAUGUCGGCUCAUCUCAUCCUGGGGCUGGAGCAGGUCCCAAGGGUCCGGCUGUUCGCCGGUUAAAGAGGUACGUGAGCUGGGUUCAGAACGUCGUGAGACAGUUCGGUUUAUAUCCGAUGUGGACAAUAGGAAAUGUGAGGGAAUCUGCCCCUAGUACGAGAGGACCGGGGUGGACGCACCGCUGGUGUACCAGUUGUCUGACCUACAGGCAUAGCUGGGUAGCUAAGUGCGGUCUAGAUAAGCGCUGAAAGCAUAUUAAGCGCGAAACUAAUCCCAAGAUUGCAUUUCCCUAUAGAGAUCCCUGAAAGACGAUCAGGUUGAUAGGCGCAAGGUGUACGUGUAGCAAUACAUUCAGCCAAAGCGUACUAAUAGAUCCAUCGACUUUUUAU
This 3930-nucleotide ribosomal RNA is filed under the name Candidatus Nomurabacteria bacterium. RNAcentral describes it as "23S ribosomal RNA". It matches the Rfam family "Bacterial large subunit ribosomal RNA". Lineage: Bacteria; Candidatus Nomuraibacteriota. The record is from RNAcentral.